This is a long non-coding RNA of Hermetia illucens (black soldier fly), 1300 nucleotides long. RefSeq lists it as uncharacterized. The transcript is spliced from 3 exons. NCBI's taxonomy places the organism in Eukaryota, Metazoa, Arthropoda, Insecta, Diptera, Stratiomyidae. The record is from RefSeq and is a predicted model, not a curated record.
UGAUGAGUCAGCUGUUUCGCGGGAGAGAUCCAACAGAAGAGGAACUACGGGCAAUCUGCGGAAUUAUUGACGACCAGACCCUCAUGUUUCAUAAGCACAUGUGAUUCGUGCUUGGUGGAAGAUUGUUUUGCGCCCUGUGAAGAGGCAGAAAUUGGUUCUACACUAUGGGGAGGAUGUUGCAGAGGGUGUUAUAUAACAAGUUGCUCCCAUUCAACGAGUUAGCAGAUGGUCUAUUAGGGCAAUUUGGGUUUCGACGAGCAAUGGAAACGGUUGUGGAUUUGGUUUGGGAGAUGAUGUGGGGAAAGCCGUUAAUUUGGUCAACUGGUGUUGGAUUAAGAGGAGUUUUGCUAAAUUGAAUGUUCCUUGUUACUUAGCUUGGUUAAUCGCGAGUUACAUCUCGCAGACCUUUUGCUUAUACGAGACAAAUGGGGGACUGAAAGAAUACAUAGCUUCAGCAGGUGGUCACCAAGUUUCCGUAUUGAGUCCACUCAUGAAGAACAUAAUGCAUGAUGGAGCGCUUGGCCUUCGCAUUUCAGAGAAGACAAUGAUAAAGUUCAUGGUGAAAGCUGCUUCGUUUCGCCAGCCAUGCUUGGAACGUGCUGAUAUUUCGCAGAGGAAAGUUUAACGACAGGACUUGUUUGCUCGAUAGGAUUCUAAAUGAAUGCGUUUAGCUGCGGAACAGCUCGACCCAUACGCCGACGAAACUUUUUUCGUUUAAAGGAAAGAACUGAGGCAGAUAUAUUCGCCAAUAAUGGUGAUUUAUAGGAAGCUCAAAUGGCUUCUUCCGAGCAAUUGGCCAUUAUUCUUUAAGUUUCCGCGUGCUACAUAAAAUUUCAUUACGCCAUAACUCGUGCAUAAAGCGUGCUCGCGAGAAAAAAAUAACGAAGCAAGACGGUAUGAGGACGGCCACACGAAUCCUUGCAGGGCUCCGUCAAGAGAGUCGCUGCGCUAGCCGCCCUUCGCCCAUACUAUUGUUUGGAAGUUCUCGCGGCUUGGUCACAGCAAGGAGGCAAAUGGUUCCUUAAAGUUCAUAUCCAGUUUUUCAGCUAGCUUAGAGCUCGUUGCUAGCUCACUGUUGAAUUGUUUACAUCAAAAUGUUAGACCGAUAAAAAUUAAUUAAGUGUAAUAUUUUGCCAAUAAAGUAAAGUGGAUUUCCGUGAUGGAGCCUUAGUCUUCAGGAAAUGGGAAAAGUUUUCAGUCGGCCAUUAUUUUUUCUCCUUAAAUUGUUGUUGUUUUAUAGACUAAACGGUUAACGGUAUGUAGAACAGGCAUAUCACACUGGGCAAGCGCAUCUGCCCAU